UAAGUGACGAUAGCCUAGGAGAUACACCUGUACCCAUGCCGAACACAGCAGUUAAGCCCUAGAACGCCGGAAGUAGUUGGGGGUUGCCCCCUGUGAGAUAUGGAAGUCGCUUAGC
This 115-nucleotide ribosomal RNA is filed under the name Streptococcus oralis Uo5. Lineage: Bacteria; Bacillati; Bacillota; Bacilli; Lactobacillales; Streptococcaceae. The record is from RNAcentral.